RNA transcript from Amborella trichopoda, 2628 nucleotides. It is a transcript of the gene named TBP-associated factor 5, with no coding region annotated. Lineage: Eukaryota; Viridiplantae; Streptophyta; Magnoliopsida; Amborellales; Amborellaceae. The record is from RefSeq and is a predicted model, not a curated record.
AAGAAGAGCCUGGUACACAGUAAUCCAUUCAAAUCUCUCUCUCUCUCUCUCUCUCUCUCUCUCUCUAUUCCUCAUUGUAUAAGACGAGCUUGAUAAGUCCUAGGUCCUUAGAGCUUCUCUUUGCCAUUAAAGCUUCCUCCCUCUCCUCUCCCAUUAGUUGUCUGGAAAUGGACGACGAAGAGAUACAUAGGGCGGUCAUGACGUAUUUGAAGAAGAAGGGUUUCAAGCAAACUGAGCUCGCAUUUCAAGAGGAGCAGAGAAAAGAUCUCUCUUCUGUGGAGACUGAUCCUGACAUUGCUCGCCAAAUCAUUUCUUUUGCAGAAUCAGAGAAUGGCCCAGCUAAAUACAAGGAGGAUUAUAGCAAGCUAAGAUCUUGGACCUAUAGCUCAUUAGAUUUAUACCGGCAUGAGUUACUCCGUGUACUCUAUCCAGUUUUUGUCCACUGUUUUAUGGAUCUUGUUGCAAAGGGACAUGGCCAGGAAGCUCGAAAUUUUUUCCUUGCCUACCGCGAAGAUCAUGAGCUGUUGUACCUCCGAGACCUCCAAAAGUUGGAAGGAAUUAUCUUACCCUCGCAUUUGGAGGAGAUGGAAUUUGCUCGAUCGUUGAGGCAGAGUAAAGUCAACAUUAAGCUAUGUCAGUAUUCAUAUGAGCUGUUGCUGCAAUAUCUGCACAAAUCAGAGUCUAUGAAAAUGCUUGGGAUUAUCAAUGAGCAUAUCAAUUUCGAAGUUUCUUCUGGACAGUCCAGCUCGAUUUCAGAUGAUGCAGAGGCCGUCACAAUGAUUGGAAGCACUCAGGAUGCUGCGAAAGAGUUAAAUCAAAAGGAAAUACGUUGGGGAUUGCUUGAAGACUCUUUAGAAGAACGAUUGGAGAAAGAGAAUAUGGCUUCAGAAGCUGAAAAAGUUGAUGGUGAUGGCAAAGAUGCAGACAUGGAUGAUAAUAAGAAGAAGGCAGAGGGUGGAAAAUCUGGAGUUUCUCUUAAGAAGGUGAAAAAGGACAAGCUUUUGGGGGCAACAGGAAAGAAUAUACGUACAGAGACAAGCACUGUUUCUGUAGCUCCUCGAGUGAAAUCUGAACUUCCAUUACCGGUGGUUCCAAUGGAAGUUGAGCACUCAUUUCUAGAGGACCUGCGAAACCGAGCGCAGCUGGGAAGCUCAGCACUGCCAUCAGUUAGUUUCUAUACUUUUAUAAAUACCCAUAAUAGUCUAAAUUGUGCGUCAAUUUCUCGUGAUGGUUCCUUAGUGGCAGGUGGAUUCUCUGACUCAUCAGUGAAGGUCUGGGACAUGUCAAAGAUAGGGCAGCAAUCAGAAAAUGGCAAUGUGCAGGGAGAAAUUGAAGCUGCUCAGAAGGGGCAAGUCUUAGGACAGGAGAAUGGGAAAAGGUCUUACACAUUACUUCAGGGUCACUCUGGACCUGUUUAUUCAACAACCUUUUGUCCACUGGGGGAUUUUAUCCUGUCUUCUUCUGCUGAUUCAACUAUUCGAUUAUGGAGCACUAAACUGAAUGCUAAUCUUGUCUGCUAUAAGGGUCACAAUUAUCCAAUCUGGGAUGUUCAGUUUAGUCCUGUUGGACACUAUUUUGCAAGUUCUUCACAUGAUCGGACUGCGAGAAUAUGGUCUAUGGAUAGAAUACAGCCUCUACGCAUAAUGGCAGGACACCUGUCGGAUGUGGAUUGUGUGCAAUGGCAUGUAAACUGCAAUUACAUUGCAACUGGUUCUAGCGACAAGACAGUCAGACUGUGGGAUGUGCAGACUGGAGAAUGUGUUCGCAUUUUUCUUGGUCAUAGAGGUAUGAUAUUGUCCAUAGCAAUGUCACCUGAUGGGCGUUAUAUGGCUUCUGGUGAUGAGGAUGGCAUGAUAAUGAUGUGGGAUCUUUCAAGUGGAAAAUGUGUCACUCCUUUAACAGGGCAUACGUCUUGUGUAUGGACUGUUGCAUUCAGUUGUGAAGGUUCAUUAUUGGCAUCUGGUUCUGCUGAUUGCACUGUAAAACUAUGGGAUGUCAAUGCUAAUACAAAGGGUCCACGAGCAGAAGAAAAGGUAACUAACACAAAUAGACUGCGAUUUUUGAAGACUCUGCCUACUAAGUCAACUCCUGUCUAUGCUUUACAGUUCUCUAGAAGGAAUCUUCUGUUUGCAGCUGGAGCACUCUCAAAAGGCUUGAGUUCUUACAACAAGUAGCUGACUAAUGAUUUCAUAUAAGGACUAACGAAUUUUCCAGAGAAGGCUGAGAACAUGAUGCUGAAAGCAGUUAGAAGAAGUGUGUAGACCGUGAACGCAUGCCAAGAAAUUCAGAGAUCCACUUUGAUUGAACUGGAAAGCAUGUCAAUGAUGACUGUGAGCAUCAGUGUUUGGGUCUGUCAAAUUAGAACCGUUUAGCUCAAGCUCUCCAUUCCCUUUGGGGUUCCAUAUUGUUACUGAUAAAUAGGUGGAAAAUUAAGGCUCUCGGUUUCCAAAAGUACCCUUUGUAUGAAGAUUUUUGUGGCCUUCACUUUUUAUGUAUUUAUUCGAAAGAAUUCACCUAGUGAAGAGUGUAUUAAUGAAUUGGUUCAGCUCGUGUAUGGGCGAGGCCUAUUUAAUGUGUCUAACACAAUCUCCUUUAGAAGGCAUUCAAAGUGCCGGUUGUUAGCUCCUC